AAAAUGGCUUUUCCCAAAGCCAAAAAUUUUUCGAACAAAUUUUUU
Anisakis simplex (herring worm) is the source of this 45-nucleotide non-coding RNA. NCBI's taxonomy places the organism in Eukaryota, Metazoa, Nematoda, Chromadorea, Rhabditida, Anisakidae. The record is from Rfam.